AUUUAGAGGAAGUAAAAGUCGUAACAAGGUCUCCGUUGGUGAACCAGCGGAGGGAUCAUUACCGAGUUUACAACUCCCAAACCCCUGUGAACAUACCACUUGUUGCCUCGGCGGAUCAGCCCGCUCCCGGUAAAACGGGACGGCCCGCCAGAGGACCCCUAAACUCUGUUUCUAUAUGUAACUUCUGAGUAAAACCAUAAAUAAAUCAAAACUUUCAACAACGGAUCUCUUGGUUCUGGCAUCGAUGAAGAACGCAGCAAAAUGCGAUAAGUAAUGUGAAUUGCAGAAUUCAGUGAAUCAUCGAAUCUUUGAACGCACAUUGCGCCCGCCAGUAUUCUGGCGGGCAUGCCUGUUCGAGCGUCAUUUCAACCCUCAAGCACAGCUUGGUGUUGGGACUCGCGUUAAUUCGCGUUCCCCAAAUUGAUUGGCGGUCACGUCGAGCUUCCAUAGCGUAGUAGUAAAACCCUCGUUACUGGUAAUCGUCGCGGCCACGCCGUUAAACCCCAACUUCUGAAUGUUGACCUCGGAUCAGGUAGGAAUACCCGCUGAACUUAAGCAUAUCAA
This 564-nucleotide ribosomal RNA is filed under the name Fusarium sp. OTU005 AN-2016. Its description in RNAcentral is "eukaryotic LSU rRNA". The stretch from base 210 to 363 matches the Rfam family "5.8S ribosomal RNA". Lineage: Eukaryota; Fungi; Ascomycota; Sordariomycetes; Hypocreales; Nectriaceae. The record is from RNAcentral.